AAUCAACGCUGGCGGCGUGCCUAAUACAUGCAAGUCGUACGCGAAGACCCCGCAAGGGGUUGUUAGCGUGGCAAACGGGUGAGUAACGCGUGGGCGACCUGCCUUCGAGUGGGGGAUAACCUUCCGAAAGGAGGGCUAAUACCGCAUGACAUACCGCGCUUGGAUGCGCGGAUAUCAAAGCCGGGGAUCGCAAGACCUGGCGCUUGAAGAGGGGCCUACGUCCGAUUAGCUAGUUGGUGGGGUAACGGCCCACCAAGGCGACGAUCGGUAUCCGGCCUGAGAGGGCGGACGGACACACUGGAACUGAGACACGGUCCAGACUCCUACGGGAGGCAGCAGUAGGGAAUUGUUCGCAAUGGGCGCAAGCCUGACGACGCAACGCCGCGUGGAGGAUGAAGGGCUUCGGCUCGUAAACUCCUUUCGACCGAGAUGAAUACCCACAGGGCUAAUAUCCCUGUGGACUGACAGUAUCGAGGGAAGAAGCCCGGCUAACUCCGUGCCAGCAGCCGACGG
Molecule: ribosomal RNA, 513 nt
Filed under: uncultured bacterium
Lineage: Bacteria
Description: bacterial SSU rRNA
Rfam family: Bacterial small subunit ribosomal RNA
Source: RNAcentral